GCCGGAGCAAGACUAAGAUGCAAGUCCAACCCCAAUGCUUCAUCAAAAGUAGGCCCUCCGUCCCCUUUCGAGAACCUACUCAACGAUGUCGGGCCGUUAAGCCCAUCUACUCCCCCAGUAUGGGCCCUAGUCUGCACUGGUUGCAGCCCACUCGAUUUACUCACAUCCCCUGCCCCGCCAAUAUAGGGAAAUCCACCAACGCCCCUCCCCCCACCGAACCCACUCCCGGCCCCACCACCACCUCCACCACUGGGAAACACGCAUCCAUGCGAGACGUGGAAAGGUGCCGCCGGCCUUGGCAAGUAAACCCAAGAAGGCGCAGCCCCCGGGACCACAACUGGACCAGCCGGAGCCAAGAGAUGAGGCGGCGGGGCAAAGGCGGAGAUCAUGGGGUUUCUACUGAAGGAAACUGCAGCUGCGGCUGCGUUUCGGGUUGCUUGCAUUUGAGCUCGCUUGAGUUGCUGUCUUUCCUUCUUAUGUGCGUUCUGGUGGCCACCGAGUGCUUGUGAAUUGGCGAAUUCUCUGCAGCAGUACUGGCACUCGUAUUUUCUACUGUCACCUGAAGCAGCAGCAGCUGCGUCUGGGGAAUUAGAAGAAGAAGAAGUCUUGAUGGAGUCAGCUGUAAGUUCUUCAUCUUCAGAGACGCUGAAGCCGAAGAGUUUUAAGCGCGUGGUUGUAGAACUUGGUUUUGUUUGAUAAUCUAGCUCUUCCAUCUUAGAUAGACGAAUUAAAGUGACAAAACCAGUGGUUUCCAACAGAGAGAGAGAAAGAGAAAAAGAGAGAGAGAGAGAGAGAGA
This 797-nucleotide unclassified non-coding RNA is filed under the name Hevea brasiliensis (rubber tree). The record is from RNAcentral. Lineage: Eukaryota; Viridiplantae; Streptophyta; Magnoliopsida; Malpighiales; Euphorbiaceae.